This 975-nucleotide long non-coding RNA is filed under the name Homo sapiens (human). Its description in RNAcentral is "HSALNT0193745". The record is from RNAcentral. Lineage: Eukaryota; Metazoa; Chordata; Mammalia; Primates; Hominidae.
UGUCUUUAUCAGCAGUGUGAAAACAUACUAAUAUAGCAGGAAAGCCAGCCCAGGUGGAGAUCCAGCCCAAACCUGAAGGCCAGAGACCCAGGGGAGCCAAUGGCGACAAUCUCCAUCUGAGCCAGAAGGCCUAACAAUAGGGAGUACCAGUGUCUGAGGACAGGAGGAGAUGGAUGUCCUGGCUCCAGCGGAGAGAGAUGCCAUUCCAAGAAAACCAUGGAAGCAGAAAAGAGGAAAGCAGAAACACAGAUGAAGCAAGAGGCUAUGUCCUCUGUGCAUGGAGACAGCAGAUCUAUUAGUAGACAGGAUGAAGAGAAAAGGUGUGAAGAAAAGCCACAUGGCUGAUGUGACAAGGAAGAAAGUGGGUCUCUCAGCUCUUCCCUUCUUGUUUUUGCCCUUUUCCCAGUACCAAGAAAUGUAUUUUUGGGGGCCACAUUCUUCCCACCAUAAUUUAGAAGGAUGCUGUUGCCAGGUUUGAAGACCACUUGAAACAAUAAUUGUUGUUAUUCUGCUAUACUCACCAAGAAUGACAAAACUAUUUACAUACUGGGGAUAGCGUGCUAGAAAAAUUGCUAAACAAAUAGUAUUUUUUCCUUCCAUAAAAUCAGAGUUGUAAAGAGCAAUAUAUUAGGCAUUUUCUUUGCCAGAGAACUUUAGCUAUGAUUUUCUGCUUCUUUAAAAUUCAUAUUAAUGAUCGUAGAUACCAGGUAUCUAAGGGAAAGACUCUUUGCAACAUCUUCUAUAUAUACCCUGGGUGUUUCUGUAUUGAAUUUACUUAAGAUUUAGGCUCUACAGUUUGAUCUCAAUCAUGUAAAAAUAUAUAGCAAGAAGGCUCCUGGGACAAAAACUGAAAUGUUUAUUAUUAAUUUUCUCUGGGCAUUGAAAUUCUGGAUGAUUUUAUUUUUUCAUACUUCUUUCUAUUUUCCAUAUAUUUUACAAUCUGUAUUCAUAGCUUCAAAAAUAAAAUAGUUGCUG